RNAcentral lists this unclassified non-coding RNA (489 nucleotides) under Hevea brasiliensis (rubber tree). The record is from RNAcentral. Lineage: Eukaryota; Viridiplantae; Streptophyta; Magnoliopsida; Malpighiales; Euphorbiaceae.
AGAUUGGAAGAAGGAUAGAUAGCCAACAUAUUGUGCAACACUGUUAUAGGAAGUUCAUUAAAGACUUAAAAAAUAAAAAAAGAAUGUGGCACAAUGACUAGGGAGGAAACAUCGUGGCAUUAUCACUGAAAUGGAACUAUACUUGGCACUUAGAGGAAAGUUCGGAUGUCCUAGCCAAUCCUCAGACUCUUCUACCUCGGAUAUGACUUUGGGCACUACGACUCACUAUUUUAUCUGAUGAACGGGAAGGUUUUUGGCUUCAUUUUGUCAGUAUAUUUGAAUAUUGGCAUACGUCCCUUGCCUCAAGUUGCUGAGACUCCUAAUGUUUAAGAUCCUUUUUCAACAAGACAUGGCUGCCAUGAUUAUAUGCAUAAAAUUUGGCAUGCACAUUAACUAUCAUGGUGUGAAUUUCCAUGUAAUUUUGUUCAUGAAUACCUAAUAAAAGAUACGCAUCCAGUGGUAUGUCUCAGCAACUUGAGGCAAGGGACG